UGGGGAAUAUUGGGCAAUGGACGCAAGUCUGACCCAGCAACGCCGCGUGAAGGAAGAAGGCUUUCGGGUUGUAAACUUCUUUUGUCAGGGAAGAGUAGAAGACGGUACCUGACGAAUAAGCCACGGCUAACUACGUGCCAGCAGCCGCGGUAAUACGUAGGUGGCAAGCGUUGUCCGGAUUUACUGGGUGUAAAGGGCGUGCAGCCGGGCCGGCAAGUCAGGUGUGAAAUCUGGAGGCUUAACCUCCAAACUGCAUUUGAAACUGUAGGUCUUGAGUACCGGAGAGGUUAUCGGAAUUCCUUGUGUAGCGGUGAAAUGCGUAGAUAUAAGGAAGAACACCAGUGGCGAAGGCGGAUGACUGGACGGCAACUGACGGUGAGGCGCGAAAGCGUGGGGAGCAAACAGGAUUAGAUACCC
Molecule: ribosomal RNA, 417 nt
Filed under: uncultured bacterium
Lineage: Bacteria
Description: bacterial SSU rRNA
Rfam family: Bacterial small subunit ribosomal RNA
Source: RNAcentral